UUCCAAGUUGUUAAAUACAUCAGAGGAUUGGGUUUUCAAAAAAAAAUUUGAGAUGUGUUAUCGUGAUUAUCUGAUUGUUCAUUUUGGGCUUUGUCCCCAUGCCUAUCCUUGUAAUUCUCCCUUGGCUGAAAUUAGUCAACAUUUUGCUAAUAAGAGACAUUCUAUUUCAUUCUUUAUGUCUUUUUAUAUGACUGUUUCUCAACCAUUCAGAUCCUUUUCUUCUUAAUACCCCACCAUGGAAGAAAUGUGCAAAUGCAUUCUUACUUUUUGAGUUUAAAAUAAUGAUUGAUAAAUGAAAAACAACAUGAAAGAUUUUUUACAUUACAUUGAAUAAGUCAAGAGUGAUAAAGGCAAAAUCGAGAUGUUCAGUUCCUGAUUAGGACAUUGAAUCUGGGAAAAGAUUUCUUACAAGAAGAAUGUGAGUGGAAGAGACAAUUAAGAGCUACACUGGCUUGAUCUUAGAAGAGCAGUGUAAUUGGAUCUUUAAAGAAUCAAAAGGUUUGAUGCCCAAGAAAAAAAAAAGAGCUUGAGAAACCUGAGUACCAUACAUUGAAUAGGAAUUAAUUGGCCAACAUCUGCAUAGCAUGCAUUGAAAUUCAUAUGCAUUGCAUAGCAUGCACUACUUUCAGGAAAGUAUAGUGUAUAAAUUCAAGAAGCAGGGGUGUUCCAACAUCCCACAUAGAGAAGACAGAUAUGAAGAUAUUUUGCAAAUUUGAGAGGAAACUUGUCAGGUAAGGUCCUAAUCCUUGAAAUAGGAUGUCUUUUGGUAUCAGGGUUGAUUUAUAAGACCUUUGGGCAUAAUCUCCUGAAAUUCCUUCAAACACAACUUUCAACUCCUUUGGACAUGUUUGUCAAGGAGCAAUUUACUUUCCAAAAGUCGUGGUGCCUCUGUUUAGAGGAGCAAUUUAUUUUCCAAAAGUCGUGGUGCCUCUGUUUAGAGGAGCAAUUUACUUUCCAAAGUCGUGGUGCCUCUGUUUAGAGGAGCAAUUUAUUUUA
RNAcentral lists this long non-coding RNA (996 nucleotides) under Durio zibethinus. RNAcentral's name for it is "long non-coding RNA (DZIB_LNC001456)". Lineage: Eukaryota; Viridiplantae; Streptophyta; Magnoliopsida; Malvales; Malvaceae. The record is from RNAcentral.